GACAGAGGCCUCGAGCGUUAGGCGGAAUCACUGGGCUUAAAGCGUGUGUAGGCGGGCCCGUAAGUGUCUUGUGAAAUCCCACGGCUCAACCGUGGAACUGCUGGGCAUACUGCGGGUCUUGGGCCAACUAGGGGCAGCCGGAACAAGCGGUGGAGCGGUGAAAUGCGUAGAUAUCGCUUGGAACGCCGAAGGUGAAAACAGGCUGCUGGGGGUGUGCUGACGCUGAGACACGAAAGCCAGGGGAGCAAACGGG
Molecule: ribosomal RNA, 253 nt
Filed under: uncultured bacterium
Lineage: Bacteria
Description: partial 16S ribosomal RNA
Rfam family: Bacterial small subunit ribosomal RNA
Source: RNAcentral